GACGAACGCUGGCGGCGUGCUUAACACAUGCAAGUCGAACGGAAAGGCCCUGCUUUUGUGGGGUGCUCGAGUGGCGAACGGGUGAGUAACACGUGAGUAACCUGCCCCUGACCUAGGGAUAACUUCAGGAAACUGGGUCUAAUACCGCCUAGGAGUUCCUGCCGUAUGGUGGGGGUUGGUAGGUUUCGGCGGUUGGGGAUGGACUCGCGGCGUAUCAGCUUGUUGGUGGGGUAGUGGCUUACCAAGGCUUUGACGGGUAGCCGGCCUGAGAGGGUGACCGGCCACAUUGGGACUGAGAUACGGCCCAGACUCCUACGGGAGGCAGCAGUGGGGAAUAGUGCACUAUGGGCGGAAGCCUGAUGCAGCAACGCCGCGUGCGGGAUGACGGCCUUCGGGUUGUAAACCACUUUCGCCUGUGACGAAGCGUGAGUGACGGUAAUGGGUAAAGAAGCACCGGCUAACUACGUG
RNAcentral lists this ribosomal RNA (468 nucleotides) under uncultured bacterium. Its description in RNAcentral is "partial 16S ribosomal RNA". It matches the Rfam family "Bacterial small subunit ribosomal RNA", at positions 28 to 507 of the family's 1533-position model. The record is from RNAcentral.